RNAcentral lists this transfer RNA (65 nucleotides) under Isshikia dimidiaticornis. Its description in RNAcentral is "tRNA-Pro". The record is from RNAcentral. Lineage: Eukaryota; Metazoa; Arthropoda; Insecta; Coleoptera; Chrysomelidae.
CAGAUAUUAGUUUUAAAAAAAAUAUUAAUUUUGGGGAUUAGAGAUGAAUAAUUAUUUAUAUCUGA